AACGAACGCUGGCGGUGUGCUUAACAGAUGCAAGUCGAACGAGAAAGUUUCCUUCGGGAAGCGAGUAAAGUGGCGCAAGGGUGAGUAACACGUGAAUAAUCUACCCUCGAGACUGGGAUAACCUGGUGAAAACUAGGCUAAUACCGGAUAAGACCACGUCCCGCAAGGGAUGCGGGAAAAGGAGGCUCAACCUCCACUUGGGGAUGAGUUCGCGGACCAUUAGCUUGUUGGUGAGAUAACAGCUCACCAAGGCUACGACGGGUAGCUGGUCUGAGAGGACGAUCAGCCACACUGGGACUGAGACACGGCCCAGACUCCUACGGGAGGCAGCAGUGGGGAAUAUUGCGCAAUGGGCGAAAGCCUGACGCAGCCACGCCGCGUGAGGGACG
RNAcentral lists this ribosomal RNA (389 nucleotides) under uncultured Nitrospina sp. Its description in RNAcentral is "bacterial SSU rRNA". It matches the Rfam family "Bacterial small subunit ribosomal RNA", at positions 29 to 410 of the family's 1533-position model. The record is from RNAcentral. Lineage: Bacteria; Pseudomonadati; Nitrospinota; Nitrospinia; Nitrospinales; Nitrospinaceae.